AUAAUUAUCUGCUUUUUCUGAAUUCUACUGAUCUGUUCUUAUCAGCUUCAUAUCUGGUAUGUCGGGCGAUGCCCGACUCUUACAUUAAACUGAUUUUUGGAUACCGGCCAUGGGAUUGCAGCUUGCUUCACCCUGGCCACGGGUUGUCUCGGUAAUUGGCCACACACCUUGGCCACUCUCACCAG
Xenia sp. Carnegie-2017 is the source of this 185-nucleotide small nuclear RNA. RefSeq annotates it as U2 spliceosomal RNA. The record is from RefSeq and is a predicted model, not a curated record. The transcript has a single exon. Lineage: Eukaryota; Metazoa; Cnidaria; Anthozoa; Malacalcyonacea; Xeniidae.